This 253-nucleotide ribosomal RNA is filed under the name uncultured bacterium. RNAcentral's name for it is "partial 16S ribosomal RNA". It matches the Rfam family "Bacterial small subunit ribosomal RNA", at positions 524 to 776 of the family's 1533-position model. The record is from RNAcentral.
UACGUAGGGUGCAAGCGUUGUCCGGAAUUAUUGGGCGUAAAGAGCUCGUAGGCGGUCUGUCGCGUCGGCUGUGAAAACCCGAGGCUCAACCUCGGGCCUGCAGUCGAUACGGGCAAACUAGAGUACUGCAGGGGAGACUGGAAUUCCUGGUGUAGCGGUGAAAUGCGCAGAUAUUGGGAGGAAUACCGGUGGCGAAGGCGGCUCCCUGGACCGGUACUGACGCUGAGGCGCGAAAGCGUGGGUAGCAAACAGG